GACGAACCGUGCGAACGUUGUUCGGAAUCACUGGGCUUAAAGGGCGCGUAGGCGGUUUCUCAAGUCCGGGGUGAAAGCUUUCGGCUUAACCGGAAAAGGGCCUUGGAUACUGAGAAGCUGGAGGGAGGUAGGGGCCGUUGGAACUUCCAGUGGAGCGGUGAAAUGCGUUGAUAUUGGAAGGAACUCCGGUGGCGAAAGCGAACGGCUGGAUCUCUUCUGACGCUGGGGCGCGAAAGCGUGGGGAGCGAACAGG
Molecule: ribosomal RNA, 253 nt
Filed under: uncultured bacterium
Lineage: Bacteria
Description: partial 16S ribosomal RNA
Rfam family: Bacterial small subunit ribosomal RNA
Source: RNAcentral